This 373-nucleotide long non-coding RNA is filed under the name Mus spicilegus (steppe mouse). Its description in RNAcentral is "lncRNA (ENSMSIG00000026864.1)". Lineage: Eukaryota; Metazoa; Chordata; Mammalia; Rodentia; Muridae. The record is from RNAcentral.
UCCUGCUUCCGGAGACUUGGGGGGAAUCGGAGCCAUUUUGUGUGGUUCCUGGGAGGGAGACGGCCUCUCCCUGCUAUUGGAGCCCAGGAAAGUGAGCCUGUACAGUCUGCAGUAUCAUCAAAUAGCAGGCAGAGCUACCAGAGGGAAUUGUCUAAUCUCUUCCAACAAUCCAGGCAUUAGUCUAAAGGAGCUGAAGAACUUGACAAAAGUCAUCAGAGGAAGGAUCUAGUGCAUUGGUAGGAAGGUAAGAGCCAAGGGAGUCCUAUCAGCCAAUACAAAGAUUCAGAACUUCCCUGCCCUCCUGCCAGUAGUGGGAUAACCUAGGCAGUUUGGAUAGAUUCCCUUCACUCACCUGUUCCCUUGUCUCACAAAG